GCUCCACUAGCUCAAUUGGUUAGAGCACCUGACUUAUAAUCGGGAGGUUCCAAGUUCGAUCCUUGGGUGGAGCA
RNAcentral lists this transfer RNA (74 nucleotides) under Caudoviricetes sp. Its description in RNAcentral is "tRNA-Ile". It matches the Rfam family "tRNA". Rfam says of the family: Transfer RNA (tRNA) molecules are approximately 80 nucleotides in length. Their secondary structure includes four short double-helical elements and three loops (D, anti-codon, and T loops). Further hydrogen bonds mediate the characteristic L-shaped molecular structure. tRNAs have two regions of fundamental functional importance: the anti-codon, which is responsible for specific mRNA codon recognition, and the 3' end, to which the tRNAs corresponding amino acid is attached (by aminoacyl-tRNA synthetases). tRNAs cope with the degeneracy of the genetic code in two manners: having more than one tRNA (with a specific anti-codon) for a particular amino acid; and 'wobble' base-pairing, i.e. permitting non-standard base-pairing at the 3rd anti-codon position. The record is from RNAcentral. Lineage: Duplodnaviria; Heunggongvirae; Uroviricota; Caudoviricetes.